This 504-nucleotide ribosomal RNA is filed under the name uncultured bacterium. RNAcentral's name for it is "partial 16S ribosomal RNA". It matches the Rfam family "Bacterial small subunit ribosomal RNA", at positions 29 to 523 of the family's 1533-position model. The record is from RNAcentral.
AUUGAACGCUGGCGGCAGGCCUAACACAUGCAAGUCGGACGGUAGCACAGAGAGCUUGCUCUCGGGUGACGAGUGGCGGACAGGUGAGUAAUGUCUGGGGAUCUGCCCGAUAGAGGGGGAUAACCACUGGAAACGGUGGCUAAUACCGCAUAACGUCGCAAGACCAAAGAGGGGGACCUUCGGGCCUCUCACUAUCGGAUGAACCCAGAUGGGAUUAGCUAGUAGGCGGGGUAAUGGCCCACCUAGGCGACGAUCCCUAGCUGGUCUGAGAGGAUGACCAGCCACACUGGAACUGAGACACGGUCCAGACUCCUACGGGAGGCAGCAGUGGGGAAUAUUGCACAAUGGGCGCAAGCCUGAUGCAGCCAUGCCGCGUGUAUGAAGAAGGCCUUCGGGUUGUAAAGUACUUUCAGCGGGGAGGAAGGCGGUGCGGUUAAUAACCGUGCCGAUUGACGUUACCCGCAGAAGAAGCACCGGCUAACUCCGUGCCAGCCGCCGCAGUAA